CCACCACAAUGCCAAAUACAUAUCAACUUAAGAUUCCUUCCCAUGCCUACUAUAAUUCACGUCAGAAUGCAAGGAGUCAUAUAACGUGAGUUAAACCUGACCAAGCUUCAGAAGGUUAUCCAUUCUUUUAACUUCAUUUUCUCUUCUUAUUCUUCCUCAAGAGAUUUUGGGCCACCAAUCGAACUGACUGCAGACAAAAACACACAUAGAAAGAGAGAAAGAGAGAAUGAAAUUCCAGACCAAUAGGUUCCUUGAGGCGUGAUGCACAUAUGAUUUUCUUUUUAGGUUAACGGUGUAAACGCUGUUAGAGUUUUAAGUAGUAUAAGAAAACUCCCUGGGCGGCUUUGAUUCAACGAUAAAGGUAGCAUAACGCGUAAUGCAUGGUAGGCGCACAUCAUGAGUUCGAAUCCUAGCUAGUAAACCGUGUCUUGUAUUUAAGUUUGUGUGUGUAUAUACACAUAUACGUUAUACGUAUAUAUGCACAUAGAGACAGUUGCUAAGAAUGUAAGAACCUCAUAUAAGAUACUUGUCGUUGUUCGGUCACGGCUCAUCACAUCAAAACAAUAAAUACCACAAAUUCCAGAAAAGACUUAAAGUAUGUCAUCUGGAUAACUCUAUCGAAAGAGACAAUUAAAGAUCACAUGGAUGAUGCUCCUAGAAAAACGCAAAUGCGAAGCAUAUUACGAUAAACGAGAUAAUUGCGGGGCACAAGCAGCAGAUGAAAGAGCAAGACAAAGAAUCACCUUAGUGUCAUCGGGCAUCAUUUAAAAGAUAAGUCAACCUCUUCUCCUUCCGAGCCCUCACCGAAUUGGAUGUGUUGCCUGCACUUGCUACACGAUGCAUCGCAGAUAUCCCUAGAAACCAACCAAACGGACUUCAAUGUUCUGUUUGUAUUGCAAGUUCCAAUAAAUAAUUUGUAAUUCAGAAGAAGAAAAUCGACCUACCUCAUUAAAAUCGCUCGCUUUCAGUCAGUAGAAACCCUUCUGCUCCUUGCUGGAAUUCUUUUCAGGUAUAUCGACUAAAUUCCAUUUGUCUUCACGGUUGAGAAUGAAAGCAGAUUAAAUUAUUGGUAGAACUCUGUGAGUUUGUCUUCUUCCUUAAGGCCUUGAUGCUUUGGGAUGAAAUGAUCUUUUGAAUUCUUUUUCCUUUUUUUUUUCCUCC
RNAcentral lists this long non-coding RNA (1161 nucleotides) under Nicotiana tabacum (common tobacco). Its description in RNAcentral is "long non-coding RNA (NTAB_LNC004301)". The record is from RNAcentral. Lineage: Eukaryota; Viridiplantae; Streptophyta; Magnoliopsida; Solanales; Solanaceae.